GUCGGUUUGCCUCGAUCCAAUCCGGUAUGAAUAUAUAUCGGACCAUGCUGCCGACCGAUCGAAACGGCCAUCGAUAUCGGAAUUGAGAACCUUGAUCAUGCCCAUGGUUCUCCCACCCCCCCCAAACCCUAUUAAAAGCCGUGAAAUCUCUAGAAUUCAAGAAAAGAAAUCUUUGAACAGUAACAGAAAAAAAAACAAGAAAAUAAGAAAAAAAAGAAUUCAUUCCAAGCGAUCAAUAGGCAA
This 243-nucleotide long non-coding RNA is filed under the name Elaeis guineensis (African oil palm). RNAcentral describes it as "long non-coding RNA (EGUI_LNC043580)". Lineage: Eukaryota; Viridiplantae; Streptophyta; Magnoliopsida; Arecales; Arecaceae. The record is from RNAcentral.